This 81-nucleotide transfer RNA is filed under the name Patescibacteria group bacterium. Its description in RNAcentral is "tRNA-Leu". It matches the Rfam family "tRNA". From Rfam's summary of the family: Transfer RNA (tRNA) molecules are approximately 80 nucleotides in length. Their secondary structure includes four short double-helical elements and three loops (D, anti-codon, and T loops). The record is from RNAcentral.
GCCAGAGUGCUGAAAUGGUAGACAGGCACGGCUUAGGACCGUGUGUCGCAAGACAUGGGAGUUCGAGUCUCCCCUCUGGCA